CGUGUAGGCGGUCAGGUAAGUGGAAUGUGAAAUGCCCCGGCUCACCCGGGGACCGGCAUCCCAAACUGCCUGGCUUGAGUAUGGGAGAGGAUGGAGGAAUUCCUGGUGUAGCGGUGAAAUGCGUAGAUAUCAGGAGGAACACCGGUGGCGAAGGCGUCCAUCUGGCCCAAUACUGACGCUGAGGCACGAAAGCUAGGGGAGCAAACG
RNAcentral lists this ribosomal RNA (207 nucleotides) under uncultured Latescibacterota bacterium. RNAcentral's name for it is "uncultured Latescibacteria bacterium partial 16S ribosomal RNA". It matches the Rfam family "Bacterial small subunit ribosomal RNA", at positions 568 to 774 of the family's 1533-position model. Lineage: Bacteria; Pseudomonadati; Candidatus Latescibacterota. The record is from RNAcentral.